Molecule: ribosomal RNA, 460 nt
Filed under: uncultured bacterium
Lineage: Bacteria
Description: partial 16S ribosomal RNA
Rfam family: Bacterial small subunit ribosomal RNA
Source: RNAcentral
CCUACGGGAGGCAGCAGUGAGGAAUAUUGGUCAAUGGACGAGAGUCUGAACCAGCCAAGUAGCGUGAAGGAUGACUGCCCUAUGGGUUGUAAACUUCUUUUAUAUGGGAAUAAAACGUUCCACGUGUGGGAUUUUGUAUGUACCAUAUGAAUAAGGAUCGGCUAACUCCGUGCCAGCAGCCGCGGUAAUACGGAGGAUCCGAGCGUUAUCCGGAUUUAUUGGGUUUAAAGGGAGCGUAGGUGGAGUGUUAAGUCAGUUGUGAAAGUUUGCGGCUCAACCGUAAAAUUGCAGUUGAAACUGGCAGUCUUGAGUACAGUAGAGGUGGGCGGAAUUCGUGGUGUAGCGGUGAAAUGCUUAGAUAUCACGAAGAACUCCGAUUGCGAAGGCAGUUCACUGGACUGCAACUGACACUGAGGCUCGAAAGUGUGGGUAUCAAACAGGGUUAGAUACCCUGGUAGUC